UAGAACACCUCCAGAUUAUCAGUAUAUAUUUGGAUCAAGAGCCAGAUUAGAUUAUAUUUAAUGAUUGUAUUAUUAGAUUGUUGUUAUUAUUAGAUUGUUAUUAGAUGUAGAUUGUAUUAUUUUUAAAAAUUUUUGCAAGAUCCAGAUUUUCAGAAUUGGGAUGGAUCAGGAUCAGAUUUGAAUCUGAAUCCUCUAAGGUAGUAAUUAUGUACUUUACUAUGCAUUAAAAUGGAAAACAGCAUAGAGAAGGGAAAAGCAUAUAAUAUUGGCGAUUUUUAUAAUGUUUGGAAUGAAUUAUCAUCAAAAACCAUUGAUAUAGUCUCUCUCUCUCAUUUAUGCUACUUUCCCAUCUCACUGGUGUUGGCUAGAUGGCCGUACGAUACAGCACUUGCUUAUUACUUUGGAAAAAUGGAUUCAAGUUUGGAUCCCACACACAUUCUCAGGAGAGAUUCAGGCCUUGUCCAUUGAAUUCCGUCUUUUUGUUUAAACCCAUCAUUGAUGGGUUUAAACAAAAGGAU
This 518-nucleotide long non-coding RNA is filed under the name Androctonus crassicauda. The record is from RNAcentral. Lineage: Eukaryota; Metazoa; Arthropoda; Arachnida; Scorpiones; Buthidae.